Molecule: ribosomal RNA, 388 nt
Filed under: uncultured bacterium
Lineage: Bacteria
Description: partial 16S ribosomal RNA
Rfam family: Bacterial small subunit ribosomal RNA
Source: RNAcentral
UGGGGAAUAUUGGACAAUGGGCGGAAGCCUGAUCCAGCAACGCCGCGUGAGGGAUGACGGCCUUCGGGUUGUAAACCUCUUUCAGUACCGACGAAGCGAAAGUGACGGUAGGUACAGAGGAAGGACCGGCCAACUACGUGCCAGCAGCCGCGGUAAUACGUAGGGUCCGAGCGUUGUCCGGAAUUAUUGGGCGUAAAGGGCUCGUAGGCGGUUUGUCGCGUCGGGAGUGAAAACGGCGGGCUUAACUCGUUGCUUGCUUUCGAUACGGGCAGACUAGAGGUAUGCAGGGGAGAAUGGAAUUCCUGGUGUAGCGGUGAAAUGCGCAGAUAUCAGGAGGAACACCGGUGGCGAAGGCGGUUCUCUGGGCAUUACCUGACGCUGAGGAGCG